AUUUUGAAUCUGGCGGUCAUUUCGGCCGUCCGAGUUGUAAUCUAGAGAAGCGUCUUCCGCGCUGGACCGUGUACAAGUCUCCUGGAAGGGAGCGUCAUAGAGGGUGAGAAUCCCGUCUUUGACACGGACUACCAGUGCUAUGUGAUGCGCUCUCGACGAGUCGAGUUGUUUGGGAAUGCAGCUCAAAAUGGGUGGUAAAUUCCAUCUAAAGCUAAAUACAGGCGAGAGACCGAUAGCGAACAAGUACCGUGAGGGAAAGAUGAAAAGAACUUUGGAAAGAGAGUUAAACAGUACGUGAAAUUGCUGAAAGGGAAACGCUUGAUGUCAGUCACGUUCGCCAGGGAUCAACCUUGCUUUAUCGCUGGGUGCAUUUCUUGGUCGGACGGGUCAGCAUCAGUCUCGAUCGUCGUAGAAUGGUCAAGGGAACGUGGCACCUCUAGGGGUGUGUUAUAGCCCUCGAUCGUAUGCGUCGGUGGGGACUGAGGAACUCGGCACGACCUUUACUGGUCUGUGUCUAGGAUGCUGGCAUAAUGGCCUUAAGCGACCCGUCUUGAAACACGGACCAAGGAGUCUAACAUGCCUGCGAGUGUUUGGGUGGAAAACUCGAGCGCGCAAUGAAAGUGAAAGUCGAGAUCUCUGUCAUGGAGAGCAUCGACGCCCGGACUCGAGUCUUUGACGAAGGAUCUGCGGUAGAGCAUGCAUGUUGGGACCCGAAAGAUGGUGAACUAUGCCUGAAUAGGGUGAAGCCAGAGGAAACUCUGGUGGAGGCUCGUAGCGAUUCUGACGUGCAAAUCGAUCGUCGAAUUUGGG
This 810-nucleotide ribosomal RNA is filed under the name Xerocomus sp. HKAS 57765. RNAcentral describes it as "eukaryotic LSU rRNA". It matches the Rfam family "Eukaryotic large subunit ribosomal RNA", at positions 113 to 915 of the family's 3401-position model. Lineage: Eukaryota; Fungi; Basidiomycota; Agaricomycetes; Boletales; Boletaceae. The record is from RNAcentral.